GGCUCGCGCUCCUUCCCCAGCAGCUUGGAGGCUGGGUGAGCCGCAGCCGGCGGUUCUGUACCGCGGCUCCCUUCCCAGGCUGAGUCCAGCAGGCUGCAAAGUGCCCCCAGCCGCUUGCCUGUGCGUCCUGCAGCGGAGCCCCACCAAUAAAGUUACUGUUUAUGCUGCCCAGUUACAAUAUGGCGGCUCCCAUGGAGGAAGCGUGAAUCUCUCCUGCCUGCUUCGGCUUCCUGCUGCAGUCGCGCCUGUUGAAUCCGUGCGUCUGGAGGCAGCGCAGAGCUGCUGCUGACCGAGACUCUAGGUUGAUGGGAGGAACAGAGAGUCUUACUUACACACACACACACGCAGACUGCUGAGUCCCAGGUUGCGGGGACAAUCUGAACGAGGGGUGGCACCAAAGUACUGGAACUUGAAGAGUUCCUAUUGCCACAGAAAUCUGCGGAUUUCUUUCUGCAGUUGAACAUCAACAUUUCAUCUUCAGAGACUGCUGUCUCAGUUGGAGUUUGGCAUACGUAUGGAAAGCAGACUAGACAACUGGAGACGACCACUGCAGAUUGCAGAAGAGAAUUGUGCUCUUGGAGUAGCUGCUUGCCCGUAUCUGCAAAGGGUCUAUUCUUUUUCAUGCUUCUGUGACAACACUGUGGAAGAAAGUAUUUUGUGGGCAUUACCAUCAAACCAUCUCUGAAGCCCGGUGUCUCCAGACAUGUUAUUGGGAGAGAAACCGGAUCAGACCCAGCUGCCUUGUACAUACCAAACAACUCACUGUUUCGUCUUACAAGAGUCAUGGACAGUUAUUUCAAUCUCAUUCUUUUGGGGGGAAAAAUGCCAGCCUCUUUAAGAAAACUACAGCAAAUGGCUAUUUAUCUGGGGCUGUUAAGUGGUGGGGGAUGUGCUGUGAUGUAUUAUCUUAUGCAAAAAAAUUUUGCCAGGACACAGUAUUAUCAGCUGGCUAUUGAGCAGCUUAAGAAUGACCCUGCAGCCUUGGAGGCACUGGGAGCUCCCCCUCUUAAAGUUCACAACAUCAGACUGACAGACAAGAGUAAUCGCGUUGACAUGGCCAGAGCACAGAUAAAGAUACCAGUAUCUGGAACAAAAUCAGCUGGAUAUCUCCGUACCAAUUCAGUAAGAGACCUCUCCCUUAACUGGUUAAUUCGUUGUGAUGGAGCCAUGGAGAAGCCAUGCCUUCAGGCAGAGUUUUCCUAGAUUCAGGUGAAGAACAAGACCCUCAUCCUGAGAGAAAAGUUCCUGACAGAGAGGAAGGGUGUACGGGGUGCAAAGCGCCAUGCUGUUCAGAGGGAUGUUCUGACUUUGUGCGACCCAUUUGAGUAAGUCCUGGAAUCGUUUUGAGUCAUCUGUGAUGGCAGACAGAGAUGGCAUUACCGCCUCGUCUGGAGAUGAAGAUAAAUUGUGGGCUGGUGAGCAGUCUUGUGGAUUGGAAUCCUCCAACUCCUCGGAAUCCACAUGCACCUCCGAGGGCUCAGUGGCUGUCACUGUAGAAGGGUGAAUUUGUCACCUCUGUGGGGUGUGAGGUCUGUGUGUCUGAGAUCUGUAGAUCGCCCGUGGGUCCCAUUGUGCCCAAUGCAUUGGGAAUGGCAUGGCUGGGCACAUCCAUGGGUUAAGCCAGACAUGGGGGCACGUCCCUGUAACUGGUUCCUGGCACUUGUAUGGGAUGGAGAGGAGUGUCCUGAAUAGAAGACUGCCUCUUUUAGGUCAUCUUCCCCAUCGCUUAAAAAUUGUGGGGCAUUAGGUGAGUCCAUCUGUACUGGUGCAGUCGGCACCAGAGAACAGUUUGUGCUGAGUACAGGUGUGCCAGGCUUGAAUGAUAUCUCAGUGCCAGUUGAUUGACCGAGGGAGCGCGGUCCCAUGGGCGUUGGUGCCAUGCUCUUAUGUGUAGACGUCUGUGAGAUUAGUCCUGUUGGUACCGUCAACUUAUGUGUGGCCUCGGUUGAUGCCAGUGAUGCCGACUUAGUGCGUUCAUGCAUUGGCUCUGCAGCAUGUGGUACCAGUGGAGGUGGCAUUGUAAUCAGAGGCGGUAUUGGCACCGUGUCCUUCCUCAAGGCAUUUGGUGCCAUGGAGUACAAGGCUCAUUUGUGCCUACUACUCAACACCUAAUCUCUGCUGGCAUAGGUCCCAAUACAGACGGUGCCGGAGGUGCCUGGAGCAUCAAACAUGCUCACCCUGCUGGCCGUCGGCACCAAGGGUAGUGAUCAUGCUGGAGACAGUUUCCUCUUCAACAGUUCUCUGUGGGUUGGAGAUGCCUCCCUCUUCCUUGAUUUUCUGGAGGAAAGGGAACUCAAUCUGUCCAGCGAGGAGGCACACAGGGAAUCCCCCGAUGGGGUUUUUUCUGAGAUAGAGACGGUGGCGUUAGGGAUUUCUCCAUAAGGAUCAUUUUAAGUCUGAGAUCCCUUUCCCUCCUUGCUCUGGCUUUAAGAUUGCUGCUGUGGUUGCAUUUUUGAGGGAUGUGCACCUCCCCCAGGCAACUGAGUGUCCAUUGGAGACAGGCAUAGCAUCCUUACACAAAGUGCAGCGUUUAAAACCAGGGAUGCCUGGCAUUUUCGUUAUCCAAUUUUGUCGUAGUAUAAGGAGAUAGAAAUGGAGAGGAAAGCUCUCCGAUUAUAUAUAUAUAUAUAUAUAUUUUAAAACAGGGAAAGGGUAAGUGGUUCAACAGAAACCUAAGACUAACUAUUAACUAAUUACUGGGAGCUAAACUUAACUAUUUCUAAAUCUUUUCUAGGUAAAUUUCUGACACCGCCCCUGGAGCUCCAUCUGCAGCUGAGGGCGGUCGAGAAGGAACUGAGGGGGUCAGGACGCGCGAGCACUAGAUGAAGCGCCAACAGUACCGUGAGACAGCUACUGCACACGCGCGUCCCAACCAGGCACUGCUACCAAAAUCCUCUGAUCAGCAGCACCGGGACACAUCAACACCUGAAGUGGAGCACCCACAGGGACAGCUCUCAAAGAAGAACUUAACCAUACUAAAUAGCUCAGUGGAGAAAAAGUUACACUGUCAAGACUCCACUAAUAAGAGGCUACAGCUUUAGACUUGGGAGUCUUUCAGCUUUAUUUAAAUGGGACCUACUUAAUCUAAAUCACAGGCAUGAUUUAAGUCCGCAUUUUCUCACAGUGGAAUUAGAAAUAUCAGAUAUUUCCACCGAUGUGCAGGGACAGAAAACAUUUUUGAUAGCUGUGUGCUAACUGUUGGCAAAAUAUUGACUAAGUGGCCACUCCUGCAAUGCCAGGAAGAACAGAUACUUAUCAACCUCUUUUGAGGUUGUUUUACAGUCCUAGGAUUUCAAGCAAGUUUCAAAAAAAUUCACCAAGGCAUCCAAAAAAUUGGGCACCAAGGCAUCCAUCCACCAAAGUACUUAAACACAUGGCUAAUUUGACUUCACUGGGGCUACUGUUGUAGUGCUUCUCUGUGUUAUUUUAAACUUCCUUUAAAUGAGUCACUGUUAUAGACCGACAUGUCGAAAGAGAUGGUGCUGAACAAUUCAAUUAGAUUGCAGUAAAUCUUCAGGACUAGAUUAUUAUAGGUGAGGCUCAUAAUGCUGCUAAUUAUGAAGGUUUUCUGACACUUCCCAUUGUAAGACUUUUCAGUUGCUUACAAAACUUUGCCCAACUUUAACCAUUCAGGCUGAAAUUUAUCAUGCUAAGCUGGGGCUCUGACAGUGAACCUGGAGGGGGACAGUAGGACUGGCUAAGCAAGGAGACUUGGAAGAGGAGCCAGAGGAGUGGAAAGUGGGACUGGGAGGGGGAACCUGGGGUGGGGAAAAGAAGGGGCGGAAGAGUCUAUGACCACGUCAGCACAAUCUCCUCCAGUGCCUGUAAUGGAAUCCAAGAUUCCUGGAGUUUCACCAUUCCUCUGCUGUCAGCAAACAUAUCUAUGAAACCAACUGGCAAAAUGUGCAUCUCAAAUCCUGUGUAGUGCUGGUCCAGAUAGCAGCAAUAUGUUGUCAUCUUCUAUCAGUUACUCUGGUAGCUCAAGUGGCAGGGGUCUGUGAAGUGGAUCUAAAGAUUCCAACCCUUCUGACUACAUGUGGGUGCCAACAGGAUGCCACAUAAUGGAAUUUCUUCCUCCCUCCCUCCCCCCAGUUUUGUCUUUGUAAAGAUUUAGGAAAUUAUACAGAAAACUAUGUUAACAGACCAUUAAGGUUGCAAAAUAAAGCACUCAGAAAAUGCCUUAAUUAAGGUUGCUUGUGCAAGUCUGACCCCUUGUGCAUAUGCGCUAUGAUACAGUAUUUAGUAACAUGAUUGCAGACUAUUUGCCACAUUUUGUGUGUGUAAUAUACAUACAAGAGUACUAAAGUACUUUAAGAAAAAUGGCUACUGAACUGCUAAUAAAGAUGUUUUGCCGCAAUUACCGCACUGGAGAGUAACAAAAGUACCUAUCUUAAAGGAACUAGAUGUGAUCUUGGAAAUUACACAUCAGUCAACCUUACUGCAGUAUCAGGUAAGCUGGUUGAAUCAAUUUAGAAAAGAAUAAGACCUCUUGAUAUGGUAGCAAUAAAUCAGCUUGGCAAAUAAGAAAAUCAUGUCUCUCUAGUCUACGAAGGCAUGUCAAUAAAGUAGUGCAGCAGGAGAAAUGGCUGACACUGUAUUUGAAUAAAGGUUUUAUAAAGUUUCUAACAAAGUUCUACAGAGGCUUUGGAAAUCAAUCACAACGUGAGAAGUAAUGUACUGUCACAAAUUAGAAACGGGCAAAAAAGAAAGGCUAUACUUCAUACAGUAACUGUAUUUCUUGAUGUGUGGUCCCUCUCAGUAUUCCACUGGAGGUGUGCAUGUGCUCCACAUGUGUGAGACCAGAAGAUUCUUGCUAGCAGUGUCCGUUGGUCCACAUCUGAACCCUUUUACUCCUCCUGCUCUGAGCCAACAGUAUGAGGGGUGGUGCAGACUGACUACCUCUCCAGCUACCUUUCUGCCAUGAAUAGCAUUAAACGCACUGCAGCAGAAGGGAAGGAGGGAGGGUAGUUGAACAGAUAGUGACCACACAUCUUGAUCUCCAAUUACUGUACAAGGUAAGUAACUUCACCUCUCUUAGCUCUUCAAGAGAUGCGUUGUAUAUUCCACUAUAGAGACAAAGGAUCAGUCCAGACAGAGGACCCAGAGUAUCAUAGACACCAUCCUGAUUUCAUAAGAGGGAUUGUGCACCUGGAGACUAGUGGUAGUCUCCUCCGUGGUGACUAUCCUAAUUUCCAUUUGACCUCUCAAACUUAUGAGUCACAAGCAGUUGUCAUUGAGAAGAAGGGUCCAAAGAUCCCCGCUGUACUACUGAUUGGAGAACUGCUCUGCCAAAGGAUGUCAGCUAUAGUAGCUUGCACCAGGGCAUGAUGUUUCACAGAAGCGUGAGCAGAGCUCCGUGUUGCUGCUUUACAGGAGAGGGUCAUCUUAAGUGAGGCUACUGAUGCAGCCUAGGCUCUAGCGGAGUGGGCCUUCACAUCUUGUUGGGGAGGAAUCCAUCAAAAAUAUUUUCUGAUGGGAGGCUGGGGUUAGAAGGACUAUAGGGUGGGGGGGGAGGGGGAAGAGACACGUUAUGUUUGCUACAUUGCACCUUCUAAUGCUUCCUGAGUGACUCCUAACCCUUUUGAUAAUAAAAGGGUUAAGGGGCUGGGUGUUAUUUGUAGAGCUAUGAUUUGUGGAAUUUCUGCUAUGGUGCUUGAGUACAGAUGCCUAGUGAGCAGAGGGUUACCUUUAAGUCCUUUCAGGAAUGCAGCAACUCAACUGUCUUCUCACUAAACAAACAGUUUCCCCUCAAAGGGCUGAUCCUCCACCAUGAACUGGACAUCCUUGGGAAAUCUGAAGGAUUAGAGCCACAACAACCAAUGUAUGACCACAGAAGUUGCCAUCAAGAACAACAUUAUAUCAGCUGCAUCAACUAAGGCUUGAAGGGAUGCUCUGGCUAACAAUUUACCCUCAGUGAGUGCUUGGAAUUGCAGCCUAUCUUUUUGUGGGAAUUAGUGAAUUCCUCAAGCUUAGUAUAAUUAAUAAAAUCGUAUUCUGACAUUAAGGUUUGGUAAUGUGCUAUAUGAAACUGUACAUUCAAAGUAAAUAUUUUUCUUCCAAAAAGUUCUAAGUAUUUAGCUUCCUUAUCAGAGGGGAGUAGACACUGUCUACUUCUUUCAGUAACAGCUUGUACUACUAAUGAAUUCAGAGCAGGGCAUAUAAAUAAAAAUUCUGCCCUUUAGAUGGCACAAAGUACUUCUUCAUUCUUUUUGGAGUGAAGGCACAAGUAGCUGGAGUGUGCCAGAUGGUCUUGGCUGAUUCUAAAAUGGCUUCGUUAAUGGGACCAAUCUCUGGAGAAUGCAGAGUAAUUUAUGAGGGAUGUCCUGCAAUUCCUCCAGAGGGAUACGGAAUGUGUCUGCAAUCCUCCUCAGUAAAUCUUCAAGUUGCCUGUUACCACUAGGCAGUGAUGGUGAAGCUAGUACAAUCACACCUGGAGAUGACGAUGACAAUCACAUUAGGGCUGGUGGUUCAGUCUGAUCUAGUUCCUCCUCUUCCUCCACUAGUUCUUGAGGAGGUUUGGGAUCUUCUUUGCAAACGAAGCGUUGUCUGGAUUCCCAAUGGGAUCAUCUAGAUUCAAGAUAUUGCAUGUAUGGAUCCGACAGUAUCCAGUAAGGCCAGUUUGAGAGGUCAAAUGGAAAUUGGGAUAGUCACCAUGGAGGAGACUACCACUAGUCUCCAGGUGCACAAUCCCUCUUAUGAAAUCAGGAUGGUGCCUAUGAGACUCGGGGUCCUCUGUCUGGACUGAUCCUUUGUCUCUAUGGGAGUGGUGAUGAUCUCCCACUAAACCUGACUUUUCAGAAGCACUGGCAGUUUUGAAUUCUAUGGAUGGUGCUGCCUUAUUAUGCUCAACUGGUAGACUGUACUGGUGAGUGGCUCUCCCUACCUUGCAUGCUCUGGACCAGUGGUGUAGAGACCUUCCUAGUCAGAACGGGUUCCAACAGAAUUGGGGAUUCCAAGACCAUAUAGAUGGACUUGUCCUUGGGGGCCUCAUAUGUAUCCCCUGAUGCAAGUGAACAGACUGGCUUGUCUUUCUGUGGUGUCAGCGGUUUGAUCUCAUUGCUGUCUUCAGUACCAACAACUCCUUUUCUUGGUGCAUUGGUACCAUCAGUGUAGGAGGUACCUACUUUUGUUAUUCCCUCAUUUGUAUUGGGGACGGUGCAGCUCCUGCACUUAGCAUUGGUUUUGGGGCACUUCUGCCCUUCAGAGCCAAGAGAAUGGUACCAUGUUCCUUAUGAGCUUCUGAAACUCCCUACAGGGGUGUAGAGUUUGACCUAACUUGGAGGUUGUUGGAGAAUAGGGAUGUAAAUAUCAUUUAAAAGAGUACUCAUUUAAACUAUUAAAAUUAUCAGUUAACUCUUUAAUUGUUAACAAGUUCACGGUCUACCCCUGGCUUGGGGGGGGCGGCACCCUGCUGUCUCUCCUUGGAGAGCUGUGGGAUCAUUUGCGUGUGCAUGACUGGGCACCUUGCACUGAUCACACCCUCUCCCAGUUACUAGGUGUUGCCUAAUGCGGCUAAUUUGGCGGAUCGCUGCCGGGAGAGCAGCAGUGCCAGGGCAGAUCCAAAUGUUCUAGUAGAUCCAGUGAUUCCCAGGCAGACCCACCGUUGCAGCCAGCUGCAAGAGAAGCAGAGCUGGAGGGGACGGGGUUGCCAGGCUGCCCCCAGCAGUGCCCUCUCUGCCAGGCAUGGGCUGAUCCAGCGGUGCCCCGAGCUGUGAGAACGCUGCAAGCUUCAGUGCCCCCCUCCCCCUGGGUAUUGCUGUAGCGUUUUUAAUGUGCACAUUAGGUAUUACAAUGUCACAAAAUUAUUUUAUCAAUCUUACUCCUGGGGGAAUUCUG
Molecule: RNA transcript, 7836 nt
Organism: Chelonia mydas (Green sea turtle)
Lineage: Eukaryota; Metazoa; Chordata; Testudines; Cheloniidae
Gene name: cytochrome c oxidase assembly factor 1 homolog
Exons: 10
Source: RefSeq, a predicted model, not a curated record